AACUGCUUUUGUACAGGAAGAAACCUUCUUACGUGUAAGAAGCUGACGGUACUGUAAGAAUAAGCAUCGGCUAACUCCGUGCCAGCAGCCGCGGUAAUACGGAGGAUGCAAGCGUUAUCCGGAAUCAUUGGGUUUAAAGGGUCCGUAGGUGGACUAAUAAGUCAGAGGUGAAAGCCUGCAGCUCAACUGUAGAACCGCCUUUGAUACUGUUAGUCUUGAAUUAUUGUGAAGUGGUUAGAAUAUGUAGUGUAGCGGUGAAAUGCAUAGAUAUUACAUAGAAUACCAAUUGCGAAGGCAGAUCACUAACAAUAUAUUGACACUGAUGGACGAAAGCGUGGGGAGCGAACGGGAUUAGAUACCCCGGUAGUCCACGCCGUAAACGAUGGUCACUAGCUGUUCGGAUUUCGGUCUGAGUGGCUAAGCGAUAGUAUAAGUGCCCCACCUGGGGAG
RNAcentral lists this ribosomal RNA (450 nucleotides) under uncultured Bacteroidota bacterium. RNAcentral describes it as "bacterial SSU rRNA". It matches the Rfam family "Bacterial small subunit ribosomal RNA", at positions 428 to 880 of the family's 1533-position model. Lineage: Bacteria; Pseudomonadati; Bacteroidota. The record is from RNAcentral.